Molecule: long non-coding RNA, 298 nt
Organism: Homo sapiens (human)
Lineage: Eukaryota; Metazoa; Chordata; Mammalia; Primates; Hominidae
Source: Ensembl
GAAUGUUUUGCUACCAUUUAUUUGCUGUAUGGUAUGUACUCAAGGCAUGAGUCAGGGCUUCUGUACUACCCUCUGAUCCCAGGAGACAGGGCAGGCAAGAAGGAGAGCCCAGGGAGAAGCUACCUCAUCAUGGGAAAAUUGUGGGAGCUGGAAGAGGUAGGGGGAGACCCAGCCAUCCUGUUCUGACUUCUAGCAAUUUCUUCUGCCCUCAGUCAUGAGGGGCUCCCUAUCCUCCCAUCCUAUGGUCCCAGGUAUACAUGAUGGUCACUCAGGGCCUUGUACACAGCAGCCAAGACCU